Molecule: unclassified non-coding RNA, 4605 nt
Filed under: Chelonus insularis
Lineage: Eukaryota; Metazoa; Arthropoda; Insecta; Hymenoptera; Braconidae
Description: plasma membrane calcium-transporting ATPase 3, transcript variant X3
Source: RNAcentral
CGUCCAGUUGGUCGUCAGUAUCUAUUCUCAAUGAGGAGAGUGCGCAUGAGGCAAGAGGGUGAGUGCGGACCGGGUUCGUGGCGGUGAUUGUAUUAACACUUAGGGCUGGCUAAACCGUCGUCCCGCGUGUUCGCGCAUAGUAUACUGCGCGUGGUUUAUCGCGCGCCGACGAAGACGACGACGACGGUUGCAGGUUUGAGAGAAUAAAAACGGCUUCAACGAGACUCAUGACGGUUACGGGGUGUGUGUGUUAUUAAUGAAUUCAUGACUACCGGUGAUUUUGGUAGUGUGUAAUAGCGAGUAUAUUGUGGUUAAACGAAACGGAAAGACAACAAUAAUAUUGGAGUACAUAUAAAUAUAAACAGCGAUAGCAUUACUGUGAAAUAUUGUUUGUCGCCAUCACGGUUAUAUUACUAAACACGUCAUUAGUUAUUGCAAACUCUGGCGUGUUUCUCGAAAGUGCCAAGUAAUAUUGUCUUGGUGGAAAUAUCUUGAGGGAGUAGGAGCGGGCUUGCGUGACCGGGUUAGUUUAUCAAAGGAAUUGUGCGUGAUACCAGGUCGAGCGUGUGUAGCUCGUAUUUUUUUACCAGACACGCCUGGAUCAGCGCAUCGGCGCCACGACAAGAAAGUAACGCCGACGGCGACGACGACGGCAGUCAACGAAAGUGUGACCGAUUUAACAUCAUCGGCGUGGCCAUCAGUGACAACGUCUAGACAUCUUGAAGCUAUCGUACCAGUCAUCCAGCGUGAGUCUUUUGGACGUAACCUCGAAUUAUCACAUCGCAUGCUUCGCGGAGUGAAGUCGAAAUCGGAAAUACCCGAUACCAGGAGGAGCCACUCGAGGAUAAUAUGCGGUAGAACCCGUGAUUCACGACUGGCAGCUUGUGGACUUCCGACUUCUCGGAGCUCAAGGGAGUUGAAAGAAAAUAGCCUGGAUCCUUGGCUUUAGAGAAGUAAGGUAGAGUUGGCAGAGGCCAACCAGGAAAGGACGAGAAGAGAUGGCGACGAUAGACGGGCGGCCAGCCCAAUAUGGCAUCACUCUUAAGCAACUCCGAGAGCUUAUGGAACACCGAGGGCGAGAGGGUGUCAACAAAAUUAACGCUCUCGGUGGUGUACAGGAAUUAUGCAAAAAGUUGUACACUUCGCCAAGCGAUGGUCUUAGUGGAUCAUCGGCAGAUUUACAACAUAGGCGAGACACGUUUGGUUCCAACCUAAUACCUCCAAAACCACCAAAAACUUUUCUCACGUUAGUGUGGGAAGCACUACAAGAUGUUACUUUGAUCAUUCUUGAAAUAGCUGCAUUGAUUUCAUUAGGUCUUAGCUUCUAUCACCCUGCAGAUGACGAAUCUGAAGAGGUGCAAGACGUAACGAUAGAUAAAGAUGAGGCUCAGUACAAUUGGAUUGAAGGCCUUGCCAUUUUGAUCUCUGUUGUUGUGGUUGUAUUGGUCACAGCUUUUAAUGAUUAUUCGAAAGAAAGACAAUUUCGAGGCCUUCAAAACAGGAUAGAAGGAGAACACAAGUUCUCGGUCAUCAGACAGGGUGAAGUAAAACAAAUAUCUGUAGCUGAUAUCGUUGUAGGCGAUAUAUGUCAGAUAAAAUAUGGAGAUUUACUGCCUGCUGACGGUGUUUUAAUACAAAGCAACGAUCUCAAGAUUGAUGAGUCAAGUUUGACAGGUGAAUCGGAUCACGUGAAGAAAGGAGAAGCAUUUGAUCCUAUGGUGCUAUCGGGAACACAUGUGAUGGAAGGUUCUGGCAAAAUGCUGGUGACUGCUGUCGGUGUAAAUUCUCAAGCUGGUAUUAUCUUUACUCUCCUUGGAGCUGCUGUAGAUCAACAAGAGCAGGAAAUUAAGAAAAUGAAAAAAGAAGCUAAAAAGCAGCGGAAGAAGAAGUCUCUCCCAGGAGACGAAGCUGGAGAAGUAACGGGUAAUAGUCAUCCGGGAAGCGGUGGAAGCGUAAAGCACGAUGGUGCGGAAAAUCAUGCAGCCGCGUCCUCAGCUCCCAGAGAACACGAAGGAAAAAAAGAAAAAAGUGUGCUCCAAGCCAAAUUGACAAAACUCGCAAUUCAAAUUGGAUACGCUGGAUCUACAAUUGCGGUGCUCACUGUCGUCAUUUUAAUUAUCCAAUUUUGUGUGCAGACGUUUGUUAUCAAGCAAUUACAAUGGAAAAGUAAAUAUGCUGAGAAUCUUGUACGACACUUGAUCAUUGGUGUGACAGUACUUGUAGUAGCUGUCCCGGAAGGUCUUCCACUAGCCGUGACGUUGUCUCUAGCUUAUUCGGUCAAGAAAAUGAUGAAGGACAACAACUUGGUACGUCAUUUGGAUGCCUGUGAAACUAUGGGUAACGCUACGGCUAUUUGUUCUGACAAGACUGGAACGCUGACAACCAACCGGAUGACAGUAGUUCAGUCGUAUAUCUGCGAAAAAUUGAGUAAAACGAUUCCACCGUUUACGGAUAUUCCGGGUCACGUUGGAAAUCUUCUUGUUCAGGCAAUCUCAAUUAAUUGUGCAUACACGUCCAAAAUUAUACCCUCGCAGGAUCCUACCGAUCUGCCAAUGCAGAUUGGCAACAAAACCGAAUGUGCCUUACUUGGAUUUGUAGUGAACUUGGGCCAAAAUUAUCAAACAAUUCGAGAAGAUCAGCCAGAGGAAACAUUCACGCGGGUAUACACUUUUAACAGUGUCAGGAAAAGUAUGUCUACUGCUAUUCCAAGAGCAGGCGGUGGCUAUAGGCUCUUCACCAAGGGUGCUUCCGAAAUCAUCAUGAAGAAAUGUGCCUUUAUUUAUGGACGCGAUGGACAUCUGGAGAAAUUCACGAGAGAAAUGCAAGAUCGUCUGGUGAAGAAUGUAAUUGAACCCAUGGCGUGCGAUGGAUUGCGUACAAUUUCAAUUGCAUACCGUGACUUUGUUCCUGGUAAAGCAGAAAUCAAUCAGGUUCAUAUUGAAAAUGAACCAAAUUGGGAGGACGAAGAAAAUAUUGUGAAUAAUCUCACAUGUCUUUGUAUCGUUGGUAUUGAAGAUCCUGUACGGCCUGAAGUACCAGAUGCUAUAAAAAAAUGUCAAAGAGCAGGAAUUACAGUAAGAAUGGUUACUGGAGAUAACAUCAAUACAGCCCGAUCAAUUGCUUUCAAGUGUGGUAUUUGCAAACCCAAUGAAGAUUUCCUUAUUUUAGAAGGUAAAGAAUUCAACAGGCGAAUUAGGGAUAGUAAUGGAGAAAUUCAACAACAUUUACUUGAUAAAGUCUGGCCAAAGUUAAGGGUAUUGGCUAGAUCGUCACCUACAGAUAAGUAUACUCUUGUAAAAGGGAUGAUCGACAGCAAAGCCUCAGUAGCUCGUGAGGUAGUAGCUGUAACUGGUGAUGGUACGAAUGAUGGACCAGCAUUGAAAAAGGCUGAUGUAGGAUUUGCUAUGGGUAUAGCUGGUACUGAUGUUGCAAAAGAAGCUUCCGAUAUUAUUCUUACUGACGAUAAUUUUUCUUCAAUCGUCAAAGCUGUUAUGUGGGGUAGAAAUGUUUACGACAGUAUAGCCAAAUUUUUACAGUUUCAGUUAACUGUAAAUAUCGUCGCAGUUAUUGUGGCAUUCAUUGGUGCUUGUGCUGUUCAAGACUCGCCAUUGAAGGCGGUACAAAUGUUGUGGGUUAAUUUAAUUAUGGACACAUUAGCUUCCCUUGCAUUGGCUACUGAAUCGCCUACACCUGAUCUUUUACUUCGUAAACCUUAUGGUCGUACGAAACCAUUGAUCUCCAGGACUAUGAUGAAAAACAUCCUGGGUCAAGCAAUUUACCAGUUGACUGUAAUAUUUAUGCUCCUUUUUUUCGGUCACGAAAUGCUCGGUAUUCCUACUGGCAAAGGAGCCGCAGAAAAAGGUGAGGGACCGACCCAACAUUUUACAGUUAUAUUUAACACAUUUGUCAUGAUGACCCUCUUCAACGAAUUCAACGCGAGGAAAAUUCACGGUCAGCGCAAUGUCUUCCAGGGAAUAUUCACCAACCCCAUUUUCUAUUCAAUUUGGAUUGGAACUUUUCUGUCUCAAAUUGUCAUCAUUCAGUACGGUAAGAUGGCAUUCAGCACAAAAGCUCUUGAUCUAGAUCAAUGGAUGUGGUGUUUGUUCUUCGGAGUUGGUACACUAGUGUGGGGCCAAGUAGUUACAACUGUUCCUACAAGGAAGAUACCUAAGAUCCUUUCAUGGGGUCGCGGCCAGCCAGAUGAAAUCGGUGCUAUCAAUCUAGGAGACGAGAAAUUCGACCCAGACUCGGAUAAAAAGCCGCGCGCAGGACAAAUUCUAUGGAUCCGUGGUCUAACACGGCUACAGACUCAGACGAGCAAUAGAACUCUGGUGCAGAAUGUAUCUGUGACAGGCAGAUCCCCCUCUCAGGAUUACUAUAUGCCAGCGGAACCCAUUCGGGAGACCGAGGUAUAACAGGGCGGCAGUCUUGCCAGCCGCCCCCACACAAUUCCUGUCGGAGUACAAACAAAUCCGCGUAGUGAACGCAUUUCGGCAGGGCCUAGACUCGCGUUAUGGCGAGCACAGUGGCUUGACCCUUGCGGAGGUACUGCGGAAGCAAUCAUCGCUAAGUAAGCGGCACUCGCAGACGAGCAGCAUCGAUUAC